CAAGAGCGUAUGUAAAAGUUGUUGCAGUUAAAAAGCUCGUAGUUGAACCUUGGGUUUGGUUGGCCGGUCCGCUUUUUUGCGAGUACUGGAUUCAACCGAGCCUUUCCUUCUGGCUAACCAGUCGUUUCGGCGGCUGGCGAACCAGGAUUUUUACUUUGAGAAAAUUAGAGUGUUCAAAGCAGGCAUUAGCUUGAAUAUAUUAGCAUGGAAUAAUAGAAUAGGACGUUAUGGUUCUACUUUGUUGGUUUCUAGGACCAUCGUAAUGAUUAAUAGGGACGGUCGGGGGCAUCAGUAUUCAGUUGUCAGAGGUGAAAUUCUUGGAUUUACUGAAGACUAACUACUGCGAAAGCAUUUGCCAAGGACGUUUUCAUUAA
This 374-nucleotide ribosomal RNA is filed under the name uncultured eukaryote. RNAcentral describes it as "partial 18S ribosomal RNA". It matches the Rfam family "Eukaryotic small subunit ribosomal RNA", at positions 592 to 976 of the family's 1831-position model. The record is from RNAcentral.